UAACCUCCCGUUCCUCUCUAAGAUUCUGGAGAAAGUAGUCGCCAAAGAGUUGUGUGACUUUCUACAUAACAAUAGUUUAUUUGAGGAUUUUCAGUCAGGAUUUAGAGUUCAUCAUAGCACAGAGACAGCUCUGGUUAAAGUUAAUAAUGACCUUCUGACUGCUUCUGACAAUGGACUUGUCUCUGUACUUGUAUUAUUAGAUCUUAGUGCUGCAUUUGACACCAUUGACCAUGAUAUUCUUUUACAGAGACUUGAGCAUCAAAUUGGCAUUAAAGGAACUGCCCUAACCUGGUUUAAGUCAUACUUAUCAGAUCGUACUCAGUUUGUACAUGUUAACGAUGAAUCCUCCAUAAAUACUAAAGUUAGUCAUGGAGUUCCACAAGGUUCUGUACUUGGACCAAUACUAUUUACUUUAUAUAUGCUCCCUUUAGGCAACAUUAUUAGGAAUCACUCCAUUAACUUUCACUGUUAUGCAGAUGAUACGCAGUUAUAUCUAUCAAUCAAACCCAAUGAAAUUAAUCAAUUAUCUAAAUUACAAACAUGUCUUAAGGACAUAAAAUCCUGGAUGACCUGCAAUUUUCUGAUGUUAAACUCAGAAAAAACCGAAAUUCUUGUUCUUGGCCCCAAAAACCUUAGAGACUCAUUGUCUAAAGAUAUAGUCACUCUAGAUGGCAUUAACUUGGCCUCUAGCACCACUGUCAGGGAAUCUUGGAGUUCUCUUUGAUCAGGAUUUGUCAUUUAACUCCCACAUAAAGCAGACCUCUAGGACUGCCUUCUUUCAUUUACGUAAUAUUAGAAAAAUUAGACACAUACUAUCACAGACAGAUGCAGAAAAACUAAUCCAUGCAUUUGUUACUUCAAGGCUGGAUUACUGCAACUCUUUAUUAUCAGGUUGCCCCAAUAAGUCCAUUAAAACGCUCCAAUUAAUUCAGAACGCUGCAGCACGAGUACUGACAGGAACUAGAAAAAGAGAUCACAUCUCUCCUGUACUAGCUACUCUGCAUUGGCUCCCUAUAAAAUGUAGAAUUGAAUUUAAAAUACUCCUCCUCACCUAUAAAGCUCUUCAUGGUCAGGCCCCUUCAUAUCUUAAAGAGCUCAUAGUACCCUAUUACCCCACUAGAACACUACGUUCUCUGAAUGCUGGGCUACUUGUGGUUCCUAUAGUCUCUAAAAGUAGAACAGGAGCCAGAGCCUUCAGUUACCAAGCUCCUCUCCCUGUGGAACCGGCUUCCAGUUGUGGUUCGGGAGGCAGACACCCUCACCACUUUCAAGAGUAGGCUUAAGACAUUCCUCUUUGAUAAAGCUUAUAGUUAGGGCUGGAUCAGGUGAGUCCUGAACCAUCCCUUAGUUAUGCUGCUAUAGGCCUAGACUAUCGGGGGAUUUCCCAUGGUGCACUGAGCUACUCUCUCUCCUCUCUCUUUCUGCACUCAUUCAUGUCCCUUUAAUGCAUGUUACUAACUCCACUUCUUCCCCGGAGUUCUUGUGCUUUCUCGUCUCGCAGGUUCUCAUGGAUCCUGGUGGAGCCUCCUGCCAUGGUCCUGCUUGACUGCCAUUGCCAAUACUGUUGUUGCUGUGCACCUGUCUGUCUGUCUGUCGCUCUCUCUCUCUCUCUCUCUCUCUCUCUCUCUCUCUCUCUCACCCCAACUGGUCGAGACAGACGACCACCCACCUAGAGCCGGAGGAUCUGUCCUAGGUUUCUGCCUUUUAACAGGCAGUUUUUCCUUGCCCUUGUCGCCAAGUGCUUGCUCAUGGUGGUACUGUUGGGUCUCUGUAAUUAAUGUUAAAGAGUUCGGUCUAGACCUGCUCUAUUUGAAAAGUGUCCUGAGAUAACUUCUGUUAUGAAUUGGCGCUAUACAAAUAAAAUUGAAUUGAAUUGAA
Dicentrarchus labrax (European seabass) is the source of this 1878-nucleotide long non-coding RNA. RefSeq lists it as uncharacterized. The record is from RefSeq and is a predicted model, not a curated record. The transcript is spliced from 2 exons. Lineage: Eukaryota; Metazoa; Chordata; Actinopteri; Moronidae.